Molecule: ribosomal RNA, 402 nt
Filed under: uncultured Sphingobium sp.
Lineage: Bacteria; Pseudomonadati; Pseudomonadota; Alphaproteobacteria; Sphingomonadales; Sphingobiaceae
Description: bacterial SSU rRNA
Rfam family: Bacterial small subunit ribosomal RNA
Source: RNAcentral
UAGGGAAUAUUGGACAAUGGGCGCAAGCCUGAUCCAGCAAUGCCGCGUGAGUGAUGAAGGCCUUAGGGUUGUAAAGCUCUUUUACCCGGGAUGAUAAUGACAGUACCGGGAGAAUAAGCUCCGGCUAACUCCGUGCCAGCAGCCGCGGUAAUACGGAGGGAGCUAGCGUUGUUCGGAAUUACUGGGCGUAAAGCGCACGUAGGCGGCGAUUUAAGUCAGAGGUGAAAGCCCGGGGCUCAACCCCGGAACUGCCUUUGAGACUGGAUUGCUAGAAUCUUGGAGAGGCGGGUGGAAUUCCGAGUGUAGAGGUGAAAUUCGUAGAUAUUCGGAAGAACACCAGUGGCGAAGGCGGCCCGCUGGACAAGUAUUGACGCUGAGGUGCGAAAGCGUGGGGAGCAAACA